UAUAAAUAGGCCGGAAAAGUCGUAAUUGGGUCACUUUCCCUGGUGACCUGGAGACGGCUGAACAGUGAGUUAAGUACUUUUCUAUUGUAAUUAUUAUCCGCCAUAUUUUAUUGUAUUUGUGUUGCUUUGUGUUUAUUAGGUGGAUAAUAUUACUUAAAUGUUAUUUGAUUAUUGGUUAUGCCUUUGCUAUUAUUGUUAGUGACUUGAUUGUUGUGUGUACUGUGUUUUAUAUUGUAAUUUAUACUGUUGAAAAGAAUAUUUAGACCCACCGAGUUUCUUGCUGGUUCUUCUCGGUGGGAAGGUCACUGAACCAGUGGUAGGGCCUUGG
Aricia agestis (brown argus) is the source of this 328-nucleotide long non-coding RNA. RefSeq lists it as uncharacterized. The transcript is spliced from 3 exons. The record is from RefSeq and is a predicted model, not a curated record. Lineage: Eukaryota; Metazoa; Arthropoda; Insecta; Lepidoptera; Lycaenidae.